Molecule: long non-coding RNA, 206 nt
Filed under: Ananas comosus (pineapple)
Lineage: Eukaryota; Viridiplantae; Streptophyta; Magnoliopsida; Poales; Bromeliaceae
Description: long non-coding RNA (ACOM_LNC022083)
Source: RNAcentral
AGGUAAGCAAAGAGGUAAGAGGUAGAGAGAGUGACAGAGAAAGUAUUGGGGAUAGAGAGAGAGAAGAGAGGGAAUAGAGAUAAGAUAGAGAUAGAGGAUUGGGGUUAGAAGUAGAGAAGAGAAGAGGAGAAUUGGGAGGAGAAGUAGUAGAGAAGAAGAAGGGUUUGGAGAAGAACUUUUGCGGAAGAAAAUAGACUAGUUUAUUU